UACGGGGGGAGCAAGCGUUGUUCGGAUUUACUGGGCGUAAAGGGCGCGUAGGCGGUCAGCACAAGUCAGUUGUGAAAUCUCCACGCUCAACGUGGAGGCGCCACCUGAAACUGCCGUGACUCGAGUCCGGUAGGGGAGUGUGGAAUUCCCGGUGUAGCGGUGAAAUGCGCAGAUAUCGGGAGGAACACCAGUGGCGAAGGCGGCACUCUGGGCCGGUACUGACGCUGAGGAGCGAAAGCGUGGGGAGCGAACAGG
Molecule: ribosomal RNA, 255 nt
Filed under: uncultured bacterium
Lineage: Bacteria
Description: partial 16S ribosomal RNA
Rfam family: Bacterial small subunit ribosomal RNA
Source: RNAcentral